RNAcentral lists this unclassified non-coding RNA (76 nucleotides) under Arabidopsis thaliana (thale cress). Its description in RNAcentral is "small nucleolar RNA R22". The record is from RNAcentral. Lineage: Eukaryota; Viridiplantae; Streptophyta; Magnoliopsida; Brassicales; Brassicaceae.
GUCUCGUGAUGAUACGAUCUGCUUCUCUCUCUCUCUGUCGGAGAAGAGAAAUUAUCAGGGCCUGUGAUCUGAAGAU